AAAAAUUCAAGGGAAAAGUGUGAAAAUUCAAGUCAUCAAGCAAUCAAAGGUAAAAUUUCUUGAUUUUGACUUGUGAUCUACCUUUCCCAUGCAUUAUUUUGCAUUUUCCAUGGUUGAAUAACAAGAUAUCAUGAAGGAUUCAUGGCUGACCGAAUUUAGAGAGAGAAGAUUUGAUGAUUUAUUGGGUUAGAUUUUGAGAUAUUUUAGUGUUUAUAGUUGAUUUAUCAUGUUUGGAAAGAAAACAAGUAAGAAAAAUCACAUGUUCUUCAUGGAUUCUUCAUUAGCCACAUUUUUCAUGUAGAGUGUGGAUGAUGAUUUUGAUUUUAUUUCAAGUGAAUUGGUUAGGAAAUGAUGAAUUAUGGUGAGAAAAUCAAGUAGGAAAAAUCAUAGUAUUGAUGCACCCACCAUGGCCGAAUUUUCCAAGAGAAAAUGUGAAAAUGAUUUUGCUAGAUUUUAUGCUAUUUGACUUGUGUUUGAUGAUUUAGAGUAUUGGGAGAAAAAUGAAAUUUAUUUGGAGUUAAAUUGUACAUAUUGGCCAAUUAAUCGAGAAAUAGAUCGAAUUAGGCCAAUACCGUUUUAUUUAGGUACACAAUUGAAUUUGUGUAGAACACCGUGUUUAUAUGAUAGUUCGAACAAUUUGCAUCCCAUUUCAUACAUUAGUAUAAAGCCUGAAUUGGUUUUAUAACAAUUUAGCACAAUGUAGUAAAUGCCUUAUUGUGCAUUAUGUCUAGGUGGUGAGCAUUCUGGCAAAAGUAAAGAGAUAGUACCCGAGGAUCAAGAAUCGAAGUACUUG
RNAcentral lists this long non-coding RNA (793 nucleotides) under Theobroma cacao (cacao). Its description in RNAcentral is "long non-coding RNA (TCAC_LNC002342)". Lineage: Eukaryota; Viridiplantae; Streptophyta; Magnoliopsida; Malvales; Malvaceae. The record is from RNAcentral.